This is a long non-coding RNA of Calidris pugnax (ruff), 325 nucleotides long. RefSeq lists it as uncharacterized. The transcript is spliced from 3 exons. The record is from RefSeq and is a predicted model, not a curated record. NCBI's taxonomy places the organism in Eukaryota, Metazoa, Chordata, Aves, Charadriiformes, Scolopacidae.
AUGAACCAGGAACUGGGAUGACAAAACAGGAUUAAGACCCAGCUAUUUAACUGAAACCCCAAAAUCCAGGAUACCUUCACCGCAUGAGACAGAAUGACAGAUGAGUUCCAAUGUGAUACGCCCCUAGUGUGUAACUCCUGCUGUAAGACCUCAGUGAGAAUGGAGGAAGAAUUUUCCAGUGACUUCUUCACCUGGGCCAACAGUUCAUGUACAAGAUGUGUCAUUUUUCUGUAGAUCUCCAUUGACUCUCUCCAUGUUCUUCAGCUCAGACCACAAGAUUUUCCAGUGCCAUUUGCAACUUUCUCUCUCGCAACACAACUGUCUU